This 447-nucleotide ribosomal RNA is filed under the name uncultured bacterium. RNAcentral's name for it is "SSU rRNA". It matches the Rfam family "Bacterial small subunit ribosomal RNA", at positions 26 to 518 of the family's 1533-position model. The record is from RNAcentral.
AGAACGAACGCUGGCGGCAGGCUUAACACAUGCAAGUCGAACGCUCGUAGCAAUACGGGAGUGGCAGACGGGUGAGUAACGCGUGGGAACAUACCCUCUGGUUCGGAAUAGCUCAGGGAAACUUGGAUUAAUACCGGAUACGGCUGAGAGGCGAAAGAUUUAUCGCCGGAGGAUUGGCCCGCGUUCGAUUAGCUUGUUGGUGAGGUAACGGCUCACCAAGGCGAUGAUCGAUAGCUGGUCUGAGAGGAUGAUCAGCCACAUUGGGACUGAGACACGGCCCAAACUCCUACGGGAGGCAGCAGUGGGGAAUAUUGGACAAUGGGCGCAAGCCUGAUCCAGCCAUGCCGCGUGAGUGAUGACGGCCUUAGGGUUGUAAAGCUCUUUCGCUCGGGACGAUAAUGACGGUACCGAGAUAAGAAGCCCGGCUAACUUCGUGCCAGCAGCCGC